AAUCAACGCUGGCGGCGUGCCUAACACAUGCAAGUCGAACGCGAAAGCCCCGAAAGGGGCAAGUAGAGUGGCAAACGGGUGAGUAACGCGUGGGUGACCUGCCUUCGAGCGGGGGAUAACGUUCCGAAAGGGACGCUAAUACCGCAUAACAUCCUGCCCUUGAACGGGUGGUGAUCAAAGCUGGGGAUUCGCAAGAACCCGGCACUUGAAGAGGGGCCCGCGUCUGAUUAGCUAGUUGGUGAGGUAACGGCUCACCAAGGCAACGAUCAGUAUCCGGCCUGAGAGGGCGGACGGACACACGGGACUGAGACACGGCCCAGACUCCUACGGGAGGCAGCAGUGGGGAAUUGUUCGCAAUGGGCGCAAGCCUGACGACGCAACGCCGCGUGGAGGAUGAAGAUUUUCGGAUCGUAAACUCCUGUCGAAUGGGACGAAUAGAUUGCGGGUUAACAGCCCGCGGUCCUGACGGUACCGUUAAAGGAAACCCCGGCUAAUCC
This 497-nucleotide ribosomal RNA is filed under the name uncultured bacterium. RNAcentral's name for it is "bacterial SSU rRNA". It matches the Rfam family "Bacterial small subunit ribosomal RNA", at positions 32 to 503 of the family's 1533-position model. The record is from RNAcentral.